CCUACGGGUGGCAGCAGUGGGGAAUAUUGCACAAUGGGGGAAACCCUGAUGCAGCGACGCCGCGUGAGUGAAGAAGUAAUUCUUUACGUAAAGCUCUAUCAGCAGGGAAGAAACACUGACCUUACGGUCAGCAGACGGUACCUGCGUCAGAAGCCCCGGCUAACUACGGGCCAGCAGCCGCGGUAAUACGUAGGGGGCAAGCGUUAUCCGGAUUUACUGGGUGUAAAGGGAGCGUAGACGGUGGGCCAAGUCUGGAGUGAAAUGCCGCAGCUUAACUGCGGAACUGCUUUGGAAACUGGCGGACUAGAGGGCGGGAGGGGUAAGCGGAAUUCCUAGUGUAGCGGUGAAAUGCGUAGAUAUUAGGAGGAACACCGGUGGCGAAGGCGGCUUACUGGACCGUAACUGACGUUGAGGCUCGAAAGCGUGGGGAGCAAACAGGAUUAGAUACCCCUGUAGUC
RNAcentral lists this ribosomal RNA (458 nucleotides) under uncultured bacterium. Its description in RNAcentral is "partial 16S ribosomal RNA". It matches the Rfam family "Bacterial small subunit ribosomal RNA", at positions 338 to 795 of the family's 1533-position model. The record is from RNAcentral.